This 209-nucleotide long non-coding RNA is filed under the name Manihot esculenta (cassava). Its description in RNAcentral is "long non-coding RNA (MESC_LNC011586)". The record is from RNAcentral. Lineage: Eukaryota; Viridiplantae; Streptophyta; Magnoliopsida; Malpighiales; Euphorbiaceae.
CUCACCUCUGGCUAUCUGGACUGACUCUGCAGGCUCUGAAAACUCUGGAGCAGUACUCACUGCUGCUCUCUCUGGUUCCUCUGGUCUGUGCCUACACAGAUGGACUCAAAUGAGGGACCAAACUAGCUUAUGACCAACUCUAUUAAACUCCCCAAGAAUCCCCUUAAACUCACUCAAACAUCCAUGCAAAGCAUGCAAUGGAAGGCUGG